AGUGCUGCUGCUGGAAACCAGAGUCUUCUUUUGUUUUCCCUCUCACCUCUGGCUGCCUCUCUCUCCCCUCAAAGGUCAGAGCAGUGCCAAGGACAGAAGAGAGAGUAGAUCCAGCCUUGGCCCUGCUAGGCUGGGCAGCCUGGCAGGUAGAGUCAGCAGGGAUAGAGCUUGCUUUCCUGUUCACGAUCUUCAGCCAAGUUCAGGGAGGUCUGAAUACUGAGGCCUUCAUAGCCACUGCACCCCAGGUAGCUCAGGAGAACCUCCGAGCGCAGGAGUGCAAAGGCUGGCAUUCUUCAGGCUCUGAGGCUGUCCCUUCCGGUGGAGGUGAACUGCUUCUUAUUGAUGUGGACAAGACUGUGGAUGGAGACUGACAGGAUCCUGGCUUGGGGGCCUUCCGGCAGGGCUGGCUGCUGGGCUGGCAGGCUCUGGCGCUCCCCUUCCCCAGAACUGACUUUGUUCCUGGCAGCCAUGGUGGCUGCACUAACCACAUUCUGCCUCCACCUUUGCACUAAGAAAAGCAAAUAAGCAGACCACAGAACUGUUUGCAUUUGCCCCAGAUGCUCCCUGGCUGCGGGAAGAGACACAGCAAACAGCAGUGCUGCGGAGGUAUGUCUAAUUGCAGAUACUUUUUGUUCAUCAUCGUAUUGAACGUCGUUGCGUGUUCCAGCAGCCAUCAACUUCCUCAGGAGGAAAAUUCAAUUGUGCACUGAGCGACAGCGUGAAGAGACCGGGCCAAGCAGGCAGGGUGCUGCAGGUCAACAAGGUGCUGCUGUGCUCCUGAAGCCUUCAGGAGCCUCAGCCUGAGAGCUCAGGAAAGGGUGGGGCUCCAACCCACCUGGCUUUCCGCCUUACUGAGCUCCAAACACAGGCUUGUUCCACAUCACGGAGAGCCCUUAUCCUGCAUGUGCGUCUCGCUCCCUGACAAGCCUAUUUGUGCCUUGUCACCAGAAAUGUACCUUUUUUCUUCUCUCAUCUGUCCCUGACACCCCCAGCUUAUCUAGCCUGAAGAGAGGCUAUCAAAAUGGUAAUAGCCAGAUGGAAAACAAGGAAAAAUAAGCCCUUUCCCAUAAGGAAGCAAUACGGAUUUUGGAACCGGAGAAAUUUCUACUAUUCUCCCAACAUCAUUCCCUCCGCCUUGGGUGUGCUUCCGAGAGGGUUGGAGGUGUCACCUGCCGUACCCUAGGACUGGCUGAGGGAAAACACACCUGAAGAUUUCCUGUAAAUGAAAAAGUGAAUCACUAAAAGGGGGAGCUGUCAUCCCCUGGCAUUUCUCUGUGCACAGGCGACCUAGUGUUGGGAUGGCAGCAGAACCCAGACAACUGAGCCAACACGUGGAGGGAAGCCCUCACUAGCCUGCAUUCGACUUGUGUGAGAGAGAAGUGAACGUUUACGUGCAAAGCCACUGAGCUUUUGUUGUUGUUCCUGCAGCACAGGGCAUUCUAACCUGCCUAAUACUGAAACGAGUACUGUUAGGCUUGAUCUGUGAAGAGGAGAACAUAAAAGGCCUGCAUAUUCUCUUUUAGGUCCUAAAAAUGCAGUGCUCUCUUCUUGGCCUUGCUGUGACCAGGCUGUUUAAAAUCUGUCACCCCGCCAGUCGCCACUGUAUUAUCUUGCUUUAUUUUUCUUCAUAGUAUUUAUUGAUAAUUUAUGUGCUUAUUAUGUCUCCCUGACUGGAAUGUAAGUUUCAUGAAGGCCAGGACUUGUGCCUUAAAACAGGGCCUGGCACAGAGUAGGCACUUAAUGUGUAUUUUUGAAAGUGAAUUGUGGGCUGAAAAUUCUGAUUUUUCAAAAAAGUUAAUAAAGGUGAAGGCCUUCCUUGCCUUUAUUAAAUGCUUAAAAUGGAUCAGUGGUGGGGUAGAGAUGGAAGGAGUCACACACAUACUGUACCUUCAACGGGUUUCAAUCUAACUGGGAGACAAAAUAUAGAAACAUGAAACAAGCAGAGAGCAAAUCUCUAGGUACCUAAGAGUUAAUUAAGUACUAAGGGUGUACUUAAAUUUGUGAGGGAGGAAGGGGAAGAGGACUGUCCAGAGGUAUGGCUAACUACCAAAAACUCUCUGGAGCAGACAGCUUUGGCAGCAGACUGAGAGCAGGGUUCUCCAAUUUGAGCUUGCAGAAGAAUCACCUGGAAGGCUUCUAAAACCUAUACUAUUGGCCCCACCCCCAGAGUUUCUGAUUCACUAGAUCUGGAUUAUACCUGGGGAUCUUUUUUUUUUUAGACAGAGUCUUGCUCUGUUACCCAGGCUGGAGUGCAGUGGCACUAUCAUAGCUCACUGCAACCUCGAACUCCCCGGUUCAAGGGAUCCUCCCACCUCAGCCUCCCCAGUAACUGGGAUUUCAGGCAUGUGCCACCAAGCCCGGCUAAUUUUUUUUUUUUUUUUUUUGAGAUGGAGUUUCAUUCUUGUUGCCCAGGCUGGAGUGCAAUGGUGCAAUCUCAGCUCACUGCAAUCUCUGCCUCCUGGGUUCAAGUGAUUCUCCAGCCUUGCCUCCUGAGUAGCUAGGAUUACAGGCAUGUGCCACCACGCCCAGCUAAUUUUGUAUUUUUAGUAGAGAUGGGGUCUCACCGUGUUGGCCAGGCUGGUCUUGCACUCCUGACCUCAGGUGAUCCACCCACCUCAGCCUCCCAAAGUGCUGGGAUUACAGGUGCCCACUGCCGUGCCCAGCUUAAUUUCAGUAUUUUUAGUAGAGAUAGGGUUUCUCUAUGUUGGCCAGGCUAGUCUCAAACUCCUGACCUCAGGCGAUCCACCCACCUUGGCCUCCCAAAGUGCUGGGAUUACAGGCCUGAGCCACCACACCUGGCCUCACCUGUAUUUUAAAUUGAGUUUUACUGGGUAACAGCCAUGGUCAUUCAUUUACAUAUUGUCAAAGGCUGCUUUCAAGCUACAACAGCAGAAUUUAACAGUCUCAAGACCAUAUGGCCUGCAAAGCCUAAAAUAUUUACUGGCCCUUUACAGAUAAAGUUUGCUGACCCCUAGAGAGGAAGUCAUGGCCCAUGGCUGGCAGAUGGAAGCCUCAGGACCUGAAGAUUUCUCAAAGAAAGGGACCUGCUGCUGACAGCAAUUAAUAUAUGUUCACAGCUUGCAGCUGAAGCCUGAUGAUGGCUGUAGGAGAAAGGACAUCACCCAGAUGACAUUUUGCCUCCAAAGCUCUGGGGACCAAUUGUGGAAGAACUGCAGGGAUAUUAUGUUAGAAUGUUCUUGUGUCUGGAUAGGAUGAGAACUGUCUUAUAACAAAGUGCAGCCCCCAUGUCUGAGGGCAUGUUUCCUGUGUUUAGGCACUUCCGAAGCAGGGAGCACCUUCAAGGGGCACUGGCCUUCCCAGAAACAGUGUUUGACCUGUGAUGAUGUCCUGGGGGAGGGGACCUAGGAAAAGACCUUAGCCUUUCCAUAAGGCACGAUUAUUCUCCUCUAUAGAGCCUCAAAAGUCAAGUCAAGUAGCAAGCACACUGUGCUCCAGUCUGUGGCCACAGACACACACAAGGACUGGAGCAAAACCAAACAUAGUGUAUCAUCACCGCUGAACCCCCAGGAGCCCCCAGAUGCUUUUGAACGUGAAAGGAGAAAGAAGCUGUCAGAGAUCAGGUUGAAUGUGGUGGGUUAGGUGUGCGGCAUUGCCUCUGGGUCCCUGCUUUGGUUUAAUUAAACUAAGUCUGGUGGUGAAUUGGUUCCCAAAUGUUCAUUGGUGGAUGGGCGGCAUCAGAAUUGUCUACAUCUUUUAAAAAACACGUACGCAAAACCUAUGCAUGUCUUCCUCUGAGAGUUUGAUUUUCAGCAGGCUUGGGGUGGAUUCCUACUUUUAAGAACUCCCCACGCCCGUCCUAAGUGAUUGUGAUUCCCAGUAAGUGAAUGCUGACAAAUUGAACCUUCCAGCAUGGACAUUUAUUUAUGAAAUAAAUGGACAUUAAUUUCACAGUCUUUCUAUGGAUUCGAGGUGGUGCUGGAUCCACAGGCUCACCUGGCCCCCUAGCUUUCUCUGCAGAAUCUGCCAGUGUGCCUUCAAUCCCAAAAGAAGUCGCUUUUCAUGUGCUGCUGGAGCUUUUGAUUGGCGGUGACUGAGAUGGGACUUUAAGUUCUCACCAGGAUGCAAAGUGGGGUUCCAACUUUACUGCUUUCUGAACCCUGCUGAUCUGUCCCCAACCAAGGCUUGAUUUUCUUCUGAAGCGCAGUAUUUUUAAACUGUGGUUGAAAUCUAUUCAUGGGCUAUAAAAUCAGUUGUUGAGGAUGUAACCAUUUUGAAUUAAUUUUUAAUUCAAAAAAUUAGACUAGAAAUUUUUAAUUUUAAUUCAAAAAAUAGACUAGAAAAAAAUCAGAGUGCAUCAUGUAUGGUAGGGAUAAGUGUAAUUCUUUCUGUAAAACUUGUUUUGGAGGGUAUGUUGUGCAUUGGGCUUCUGUGUAUUUCUUACUACGUUUCACAGGGAAACUGCUGUCAUCUCUGCAGUACAAUAUAGAUCAACAAUGGCCCUAACUUCCCUAAGACAGCUCUCAUGUCUGCUUGCAGAGAACAGAUGGAAAAAGUCACCAGGGAGGGUAGAUUGCCAUAUACAAGUACUUCAGGGAGGCUACCUGGAAACUAAUAGAAAACCAGUUUAUGGAUGAUUGCAGAGCCUGGGGAGAGAAAUCAAUCUUGGACAGUUUUAUGGAUGGCAGCCAACAGCCUACCAUGCUCAGCCCAUCGCACCUGUCACCUGGGGACAAGCAGGGUCUAUCUGGAACGGACUCUGGCCAGGAUUCAGUUUCUCUUUCCUCGAAAUGGGGAUAAUCACCCUCUUGACUAUUGCUGUUAUGGGAAAGGCCAAAUUAGGGGAAAAAAAUUCUGUCCAAUAAGGGAUGAACCACAAAGCUCAGGCCAGUAAUGGCCUCUAUUGGUGGUUUGGGAGGUAUGCUUGUAUGGGCAUUAAGGGAGAAAGAGAAGGUCUGCACUCUAAUCAAGUCUAGGCAAUGUGGGAGUUGGAAAGAGACACAUGGGAACACAGACCCAGUCACCUGAAGGCAAGAGCCUUUCUUUUUCCUCCUCUUGGCAGGCAGCGUGGGCUCCCGGGCCCCAAGCAGGAUCCCUUAGGGCUGAUCUCUUACCACACACUGGUCUGACUUGGUGACCUGGAAGAGGACAGUCAGAGCCAACAGGAUGAGGGGACCAGCUUGGAGAGCAUCUAUUGUAUGCCACCCUUGAGUGGCUGGAAAUGUCUUCUGCCACUUUGCAAGGGGCUGGGGGCUGGGGAGUGGGAGUGGCAAGGGAACACGGGGUGGUAGAUUGUUCCCAGGGCUGCUGGUUUUGGAGCAGUCUGACUACCCUCUCUUCUUAGUGGGAAAGAAAGGAGGAAGAAGGGGGAAGGGAUGCUUUUGGAGGGGAGCUCUAAGGGUGGGAGAAAAGAAAGCCUGAAAGAACAUCACUAAAGGGUCUGAAGUUAAAGACUCCAAUGAACAAGAAGCCCCUAAUUCAAACAGUGCCACUAACACCAAAACCUGUAAAGUGGUCCAGAGAGACCCUGGUCAUGUCUGUAACUUUCCUUUUUAAAGCUCUCGUGAAGUUAAUGAAUGAAAAAAUUGCUAAUGCAAAGAUGGAAAUUAAUAAAAACAAAAGCGUGCUUCAUAUUGCAGGGUGACCACCUCUAAUCCUACCAGUGAUCCUGUGGCUGUCCCUGUAACUUCCUUUGGCAACACCAUGCUUUGAGAAGCUGUGGGGAAGGCUGGCCAGGGAGAGAGCCUCACCCCCCAAUUCUG
This 5720-nucleotide long non-coding RNA is filed under the name Homo sapiens (human). RNAcentral describes it as "non-protein coding TUSC8:14". Lineage: Eukaryota; Metazoa; Chordata; Mammalia; Primates; Hominidae. The record is from RNAcentral.